RNAcentral lists this long non-coding RNA (3327 nucleotides) under Homo sapiens (human). RNAcentral describes it as "HSALNT0251540". Lineage: Eukaryota; Metazoa; Chordata; Mammalia; Primates; Hominidae. The record is from RNAcentral.
CAAGCCUGGGCAAUGGCGGGCGCCCCUCCCCCAGCCUCGCUGCCGCCUUGCAGUUUGAUCUCAGACUGCUGUGCUAGCAAUCAGCGAGACUCCCUGGGCAUAGGACCCUACGAGCCAGGUGCGGGAUAUAAUCUCGUGUUGCACCGUUUUUUAAGCCUGUCGGAAAAGCGCAGUAUUCUGGUGGGAGUGACCCGAUUUUCCAGGUGCCGUCCAUCACUCCUUUCUUUGACUCAGAAAGGGAACUCCCUGACCCCUUGCGCUUCCCAAGUGAGGCAAUGCCUCGCCCUGCUUCGGCUCGCGCACGGUGCACGCACCCACUGACCUGCGCCCACUGUCUGGCACUCCCUAGUGAGAUGAACCCGGUACCUCAGAUGGAAAUGCAGAAAUCACCCGUCUUCUGCGUCGCUCACGCUGGGAGCUGUAGACCGGAGCUGUUCCUAUUCGGCCAUCUUGGCUCCUCCCUCUGAAGAGUCCAACAGAAAAUUUUAAGUACCUGUUUAAAGCAAUUUACAAGAUACUGUGGAGAUUCCCAGCAAUAAAGAAUGUACUAUAGUUAAGCUGGAAUCCAACUCCUGAAUUUCUGGAGCCCUGAAGACCACUUAGUCUUACUCACAAGAAUUGAAUGGAAUGUGAAUCUACACUCAGGUGAAGCCAGGGUAUUUUGAACGUCCCUACAAGACUGAAGCACCACUGGGAAAUAAGUAAUAGAGAUGCCAUCAUUGUGGAGGUCAUAAUGCUUGUCCUGAACACGAGGGGUCUCUAGUGAGGCACCAAUUCAGCUCCUCUUCUGUGGAGAGACUACAUGGGUGCUGAAGAAACAAAGACACAACGCAGCUCCUCUCAAAGGAGUUCAGAGCUUAGCAGGGGAGACAGAACCAUGAAUGCAUAGUUACGCAUCAAUGUGCUGCACGAGCACUGAAGCCCAAGCACAAGCGGCCUGAGUCCCAAAAACAUUUGCUGACUGCUGUUCUAUCUAGGAUAUCAUCAGUGUGUAGAUGAUCAGAGUUCAUGUCAGUGUUCCUACAAGCCAAUGAAGAAAAACAGAGAUCUGUGUUCUGAAUGGAAAAAUUCCUACUGAUGCCAGUAAGUGAGCCAUCCAUCUAUGAUGUGUCUAUGGGGAAGAAAGUGACAUGAAUGAGUAAAAUAGAAUAUAUGCUUUAAAUCAUGAAAAUUGAGUCCAGAUGGAAAGGUUAGGAGGAAAUGGAGUGGAAAGGUGGAUGAAGAAGAGUGAGAACUCAUGCAGUCGUUGCGACUUGGUUGACACUUCCUUCCCUGUGACUACAAUUCCAAGUUCAGUACUCCUGAGCUUUUAUAGAUGGAUGAGAAUAUAGGGGGAAGAAACAAGAGGAAGGAGUUUUCUGAAAUCUCGGUGGAGAGGAGGGAGAAAAAAGAUGGGAAAAUGUUACAAGCAUUCUGUUCAUGUUGUAUCACUUAGUGCAGUCUUGUCUUCCCAGCCCACUAGUCUGGAACAAGUCAGUCUCAAACAUAACAACAGACACUGGGGAGCUCUCCAACAAAAGAUCACCUCCCAAAGAACAGGAUGGUGUCGAAGACUGAAUGCCAGCCUGAGGAAACAGAAAUACUACAGAAGCACGCCAGAGCCUGCAGUGUCUCCUCGCUGCCUCUCAAUGAACUGCUAAAAGACCAAGAACUCUGCUGAGAGAUAAGAAGAGGGGAGGGUGUGCUGCAGGUGGUGCUGGGAGGCCCAGACCUUCUCCUGACAUCUGGGGCUGGCUACAGGAAACAGAAACAUCACCCAGGCCUUGGCGCGAGACAGGACAGAGGCAGAUUGUGACUCAGAUCUGCAGGUGGAAAGUGGGCCUUUCGUUUUCUCCUAGGGGUAGAGCAAAGCCAGAGGGCUCAGUCAGAGGAAACCUAAGGCAGUUCAUGAUCCCUUCAACUUUAUACCAUUUCCUCAAAACUGCCUCCAAACAGUGGGCAACUGGAAAGGUGGUCUGACCUCCAGUGAUCACACAGUAUGCAUUAUAACAGAAGGCUGUCACUGUCAAUUGCAUGGCUCCCUCACUAUGCAUUCCUUCUAUCAAUUUACGACAACACACUGUAGUGAGUACCUGCACAUUGCUGGGUAUUUUGGCAGACAUUGAUAGUAGAUGAAUAACACCUGGUACUUGACCUUGAGACGCUCACUGCCUAGUGUGGGGAACCAAUGGUUGCAAUAUAAAGUAUUAACUAGAGGGAUAGAGGACUGCCUGAGGAUCUCUGCACUCAGAGGAAGGGCCAUGAGAUCAGCCAGGACAGUAGGGAGGCAGUGACUCAUGAAAUUAGCAAGUGGUGAGAAGAGGGCAGUAGAUUCAGCGGCUGCUAAAAAAGGUUACUGAACUUUUUGUUUCAUCAAUGCCAAGAAAUUAAUCUGUUUUAGCCUCUUUCAUGGCCUCUGUUUGAAAUUUUUUAACUUUUUUUUUUUUUUUAGAUUUAGGGGUACAAGGACAGUUGUAUUGCAUGAGUAUAUCAUAUAGUGGUGAAGCCUGGGCUUUAAGUGCACCUAUCACCCGAAUAGCGUACAUUGUACCCACUAGGUAGUAUUUCAUUUCUCACCCUUCUUCCACCUUUUGGAAUCUCCAGUGUUUGUUGUUCUACUCUGUAUGCCCAUGUGUACUCAUUGUUUCACUCCCACUUAUAAGUGAGAACAUGUGCUUUUGACUUUCUGUUUCUGAGUUGUUUCACUUAGGAUAAUGCAUGUUCCUGUUUUGAUUCAGUCAAAAUCCUGGGGUCAGCACUGACAAUGUGAUUAACCCCUGUCCUAAAUUCACUGCAGAGGAACUGCUCCCAUAUGACUACUUAUUACCACCCAAGCCAGAAACCACAAAGAUAUUCUGACCUCUCCUCCUUCACUCCCCACCAACUGGUGAGUAAGCUAGUCACCAAGUCUUGAUUCUACUUGCAAACAUCUUUGGAAGGGAUCUCUCACUCCACACAGUCUCUGUCAUUGCCAAGUAUACCCAUUACCUCUGCUCUGUCCUACGGCUCAUCAUUCCUCAUCUACAUGCUGCACCAACCUCCUAACUCCCAUUCCUCCCCCUCCUAGUUCACUGCCAUAGCGUAAUCUUUCUAUAUCACGGAUCAUAUUGUGUCCGAAAUUGGUGGGUUCUUGGCCUCACUUACUUCAAGAAUGAAGCUGCAGACCCUCGUGGUGAGCGUUACAGUUCUUAAAGGUGAUGUGUCUGGAGUUUGUUCCUUCUGAUCAUGUUCGGAGUUUCUUCCUUCUGGUGGGUUCGUGGUCUCGUUGGCUUCAAGAGUGAAGCUGCAAACCUUCAAGGUGAGUGUUACAGCUCUUAAGGCAGCGCAUCUGGAGUUGUUUCUUCCUCC